AGAGUUUGAUCAUGGCUCAGGAUGAACGCUGGCGGCGUGCUUAACACAUGCAAGUCGAACGAAGCAUUUAAACCGGACUUCUUCGGAGGGAAGGCUUUUAUGACUGAGUGGCGGACGGGUGAGUAACGCGUGAGUAACCUGCCCCACACAGGGGGACAACAGCCGGAAACGGCUGCUAAUACCGCGUAAGCGCACAGCACCGCAUGGUGCAGUGUGAAAAGCUUCGGCGGUGUGGGAUGGACUCGUGUCUGAUUGGCAGUUGGCGGGAUAGCGGCCCACCAAACCGACGAUCAGUAGCCGGCCUGAGAGGGUGAACGGCCACAUUGGGACUGAGACACGGCCCAGACUCCUACGGGAGGCAGCAGUGGGGAAUAUUGCACAAUGGGGGGAACCCUGAUGCAGCGACGCCGCGUGAAGGAAGAAGUAUUUCGGUAUGUAAACUUCUAUCAGCAGGGAAGAAGAUGACGGUACCUGACUAAGAAGCCCCGGCUAACUACGUGCCAGCAGCCGCGGUAAUACGUAGGGGCAAGCGUUAUCCGGAAUUACUGGGUGUAAAGGGAGCGUAGGCGGCGUUGUAAGUCAGAUGUGAAAUACCGGGGCCCAACCCCGGGAUUGCAUUUGAAACUGUGACGCUUGAGUACCGGAGAGGUAAGCGGAAUUCCUAGUGUAGCGGUGAAAUGCGUAGAUAUUAGGAGGAACACCAGUGGCGAAGGCGGCUUACUGGACGGAGACUGACGCUGAGGCUCGAAAGCGUGGGGAGCAAACAGGAUUAGGUACCCUGGUAGUCCACGCCGUAACGA
Molecule: ribosomal RNA, 800 nt
Filed under: uncultured bacterium
Lineage: Bacteria
Description: bacterial SSU rRNA
Rfam family: Bacterial small subunit ribosomal RNA
Source: RNAcentral